AGAGCGCCGCCGCCCGGGCCGAGCCGGGGCUCUAGAUGGAGGGCCGAGCACAACAAUGGCAGCGGCCGCGUCCUGCCAGCGCCCGGGCACGCCCUUGCGCGGGGGGCUCCGCGUGAGACGGCGUCCGGGGUGGGGGGGAGGCUGGGUGCGGACGCGGCCAUUUGGAGAGGAUGCCCGCGCGGCGGUGCCCGCGCCCCGGGGGCCUCCUGCAGCCCCGGGCGGCGCGGCGCCCGCCUAGGUGGCAUCCCCGACGCCAGCCGAAACCGUAGGCGGCUCCCCCGCCCCUCCCCACGCGGCUCCCGAACCCCUUCGUGGCCGGCCCCGCCUCACACACAAAAUGGCUGAGGUGCCCAGCUUUUUGGAUCCUUCCACCUCCGGGAAGCGGGAGAGGGCCAGGAGCGGCACAGCCCUCGGGGGCACCCUUGAGUGUGCGCCCCGGAUCUCCCUUUGCUGGGCCCCGCGGUGACAUCGCUGGGGUGUUGUUGUUGUUGUUGUUUUCUUUUAAUCGUCUUGAAAAGAACAUCAGUCCUCAGGGAUUUCCUUGACUGUAAUGUGAACUUGGGCUUUACAUAUUUAUAAGGCCUUUCACCUGCCUUGGUUUUCAGAUUGAGUGGGCUGGGAAACUUGAUUCUAGUUGGGAGCUGAGUGGCCUCGUUGCCAACAGGCUUUUCUAAUAGAGACAGUCUGGAAAUGAGACGUAAAAAUAAAAAAAUGUUAGAGGAACCUAACGCUUGUGAUUGCACACUCAAAGUCCCGGAAGUCGGCUAAUAUCACAGUGUUUCAAAUGCAUAGAUGUGUGAACUGAACGCAUUCACUGUACAGUUGAUUCCCUGCCAGCCAAAUUCUAAUGAGCCGAGGAUGGAAGAAGAUACUAAAGGAUGAAAAAGGGGGUGGAGGAUUGCCUACGUUCUUCAAGACCCCCUCCCAACACACACACAGAGAGGUCUGGUAUACUUGCAUAGUAUUUAAUAGGUAGUGACCUUAAAAAACGAUAACUAGGGUUACCGUAUCAGUCAAUGUGGACAACAGGAGUGUGACAGUUAGACAGCAGGCCCUCCAUUCUAACAGGACAGUUAGAAUGGAGGGCCUGCCUCAGUAAACCGGGGCAGGGCCGCCUUUAAAUAGACGAGGCAGACUCCCUCUCCAGCCUCUGCAUUUCCCACUGUUCCACAGUCGACUGAAGUAGGUGGCAGGGAUAGGCCUAGAUUCACAAAUGUUUACCAGGCAGACAAGGUAAGAAAACGAUAGGAACAGACACGUAUGAACCAAUGCAGUUAGGUCCUUUUUUUGUUCACAUAGGCCUGAGCACUUUGUAAGGUAUGCAUCCUUUUUAAAGUAUUUCAUACUUUCUGAUGAAGUAGUUUGCUUUCCAGUGUUUGAAGCCAUAUUCAUGAUAUACACAAAUAGGUUUGUUUUUUUCCCCGAGUGUGUGAAGGCAAAUUGUAGGAGAAAGUGUAGAGAAGUUCUGAGAGGAGAAUAAGUUUGAGGCUGUUGAUUACAGUUCUUGAGAACGUAGCAUUUGCAGUUCACAGCAGUUGCUCACAGGUAAUAGUGAAUAAGCAGAGGCUUAGUUCCCAUUUCAUGGAACUUACAACCCAGAGGCAAGACAGACAAGUAGCAAGCUAACAAGCACAGGUCUGAAAAUGGCACCUGCCCUCUACCAAGCCCAGUUGGCUAAAGCACGCCCAGAGGAAGGCAGAUGGCAUCCGAUUUGGCCAGAGGUGCAGGUAAGAUUGUUACUAGGACGACUAGGUGUGUAAGUAGGAGUACCCUGGAACUCUGUGUUUGAGCAGUGAGUAAGACAGUGACUGAGACGGCAUGCACGGAGGUUUUGGUGGCGGUAAACCCCACAGAAAUGGGUGAAACAGUAAAUAAAACCAGGAUGCAAAUUUCCAAUUCACACAGCUACAUUACGGAGAUUGUGAGAGCCAGUGAUGAUGGUUUAGCUAAUUAUAAAUAUGAACAAGACAAAGCAUAUCACACUAGUAACAUUUUCAAAAAGUAGCAAUGCAGACAACUGAUUGCCUUGAUUUCUUGUGCCCAUCUGUGCUUUGCUUGUCUCCUUAAGCAGCUCUGGCCUAGCUUGCUUCAGUGCUUUAAAAUUCUUAUUUUUUGUUUUUUCUCUUAAAAAUCAGGUGCGGUGGCACAUGCCUUUUAUCCCAGCUCUCAGGAGGCAGAAGCAGGCAGAUCUCAAAGGCCAGCCUGGUCUACAGAGCAAGUUCCGUGACAGCCAGGGCUACAAAGAGAAACCUUGUCUGGAAAACAAAACAAAAACAAAAAAAAUCUUACUCAGUUGAAAAAAAUCAAUAUCUUCUGUUGUUAUAACUGAUGCUAAACAUUGUUGAAGCUAGAAUUUAGAAUAGCUAAUUAAAAUAAAUUUUUUUCAAUUUGAUAUUUGGCUUUUAGCAAACCAAAUUUCUGUCCAUGAGCAGAAACAGCACGUUUAACUCCUUAAACCUACGACCUUCAUUGUUCUAUCAAAUCAGUGACACGGUCCCUCAGUGCUCCCAGGAACCAGCAUCUUCAGAGACUUCCAACUGUGAGCCAAUUGGCUCAUUACCCAAACCAGUGUUGUAUGACACAGUUUUCACCAAAGGAACGUAGCUGAAAUUUGUCGGGUACGAUUCACAAGUCAAGUAAAGAGCGCUGACUAGACGCUUAAGCUCUAGGAUACAUGACCUCCAUCGUGGCUUCCCUCUAUCAGUGACUGAUACUCAAUAGCCUUAAAAGUCCUCAGGCAUGGUGGCUGGCUCCUUCUCUACUAAGCUCAUGCUGUGAUUGCUUCAGACAUGCCAUUGGACAGGCAUCCCUCAGCUGUAACAGUCAUCCUGGAGCUACAUCAACAGCCUUGUACGCCAGUGUGCACGGAACGCAAGGGUUAAGCGUGGUCCUCAGGGACCUUGGAUCCACAGCUCUGAUGAUUCGUAGCGCUUUUCGUCCUUUCCACACUGUUGGAGGUUGGUCUAAUGCUAAAUACUGGCCCUGAAGAUCUGGUUACUGCCUGCCGAAAUACCCAUCCUUGUUUGUGUAAACCUAAGACAUACCUGACUGGUUGAUUAAACAGCCUAUGGCUGGGCAGGGCAGAAUGGGAUAGGCAUGGCUAGGGUUCCCUGGGAUUUGGAGAAUGACGGAGAAACAGAUGGACAGGAGGAAAGAAAGAAGGAGGGCGCCACAAUGUGUUAGCCUGGAGAAAACAAACAAACAAACACAUGGGCCAGGAUGAAGGACUCCCAAUAAUGGUGUGAAAAGCCCAGAUGAAGAAUACAAGCAAGUACCAUGAACUUACGGAUGAAGGGUAGAUCAGAUGAAGAUUAAGGCAGAUGGCACUGGAUGGGGCUGGGAAAUGGAUGGUGAGGUUACUCAGACAGUGUAGGUGAAACACCUGCCCAGCCCAAGGUAAAUAAGGCAAUUAUAACUC
This is a long non-coding RNA of Psammomys obesus (fat sand rat), 3418 nucleotides long. RefSeq lists it as uncharacterized. Lineage: Eukaryota; Metazoa; Chordata; Mammalia; Rodentia; Muridae. The record is from RefSeq and is a predicted model, not a curated record. The transcript has 3 exons.